AACAUCGCGCACCUGCGGGAACCUGCGGAAGGAUCAUUACAGAGUUGCAAAACUCCCUAAACCAUCGUGAACGUUACCUAAACCGUUGCUUCGGCGGGCGGCCCGGGUCCUUCCCGGCGCCCAUCGGCCCUCGCGGGCGCCCGCCGGAGGUAAACCAAACUAUUGCAUUGUAUGGCCUCUCUGAGUCUUCUGUACUGAAUAAGUCAAAACUUUUAACAACGGAUCUCAGAUCGGAAGAGC
This 240-nucleotide unclassified non-coding RNA is filed under the name soil metagenome. RNAcentral describes it as "partial contains 5.8S ribosomal RNA, internal transcribed spacer 2, and large subunit ribosomal RNA". The record is from RNAcentral.